RNAcentral lists this ribosomal RNA (424 nucleotides) under Verrucomicrobiota bacterium. Its description in RNAcentral is "Verrucomicrobia bacterium partial 16S ribosomal RNA". It matches the Rfam family "Bacterial small subunit ribosomal RNA", at positions 355 to 776 of the family's 1533-position model. Lineage: Bacteria; Pseudomonadati; Verrucomicrobiota. The record is from RNAcentral.
UGAGGAAUAUUGGUCAAUGGACGCAAGUCUGAACCAGCCAAGUCGCGUGCAGGAUGACGGACCUAUGGGUUGUAAACUGCUUUUAUAUGGGGAUAAAGUGGGGAACGUGUUCCCUUUUGCAGGUACCAUAUGAAUAAGGACCGGCUACUUCCGUGCCAGCAGCCGCGGUAAUACGGAAGGUUCGGGCGUUAUCCGGAUUUAUUGGGUUUAAAGGGAGCGUAGGCCGGUUGGUAAGCGUGUUGUGAAAUGUAGGAGCUCAACUUCUAGAUUGCAGCGCGAACUGUCAGACGUGAGUGCGCACAACGUAGGCGGAAUUCAUGGUGUAGCGGUGAAAUGCUUAGAUAUCAUGAAGAACUCCGAUUGCGAAGGCAGCGUACGGGAGCGCAACUGACGCUGAAGCUCGAAGGUGCGGGUAUCGAACAGG